AAAAAUUUGAUAUAUUAAUCGAUCACUGGUUAACGGCCGGACGUUUCCACGAACGAAAAAAGAGGAAGGACGAGACCAAGGUCGAGAAAUAGGAGCGAGGCGUCUGGACACUUGAUAAGAAAAAGAAGAAGACAAAUUAACGACGAAGACGACGACGACGACGACGACGGCGACGACGGCGACGACGACGACGACGACGACGACGAAGAAGACAAGGGAG
Bombus impatiens (common eastern bumble bee) is the source of this 220-nucleotide long non-coding RNA. RefSeq lists it as uncharacterized. The record is from RefSeq and is a predicted model, not a curated record. The transcript is spliced from 3 exons. Lineage: Eukaryota; Metazoa; Arthropoda; Insecta; Hymenoptera; Apidae.